This 129-nucleotide non-coding RNA is filed under the name Streptomyces tsukubensis. The record is from RNAcentral. Lineage: Bacteria; Bacillati; Actinomycetota; Actinomycetes; Kitasatosporales; Streptomycetaceae.
GGCCACAUGUUCCAAUCCGGCUGAUACAUGCUCAUGACCAGGGGAAGCCGGUGGAAAUCCGGCGCUGACCCGCAACCGUGAGUCCGCCGGGCGGCGGACGAGCCGGACUGCCUGGGAUGGGUGCUCGAU